RNAcentral lists this long non-coding RNA (1232 nucleotides) under Daphnia magna. RNAcentral describes it as "uncharacterized LOC116916149, transcript variant X3". The record is from RNAcentral. Lineage: Eukaryota; Metazoa; Arthropoda; Branchiopoda; Diplostraca; Daphniidae.
AACGAAGCGUGGUCUCUGUGGUUUUGAUUGUUGCAAACUCGAAACCGAAUUACAAGGUUUCGUUGCUGUUUAAAAUUCCCAGUCUCUUUGAAUAUUAAAUGGUUUUUUUCAGUGUCUAAAAAAGCCAUUCCUAUCAGUAAGGAAAUUUCUUAUGAAUUUACCACCAAUUGUUACCUUGUGCUGGCUCCACCUCAAAGCAAUAUACUACGGAACGCCGUUUGACCAACUUUUUUUAGUCAACUCUACUUCGAUGGUUGUCCGUUUAUUUUGCAAAUAAAUAGAUAACUUGCGUAGCCAUCUAGUGGUCAAAAUCGUCACUUGAAGGAGGGAUUUGAAUAGAUGACGCCUUUAACGGAGGAGGAGUCUACCUAACUAUUGUUGAUCGAUUGUUAGGUCGAUUUCGAUCGCCAUUGUACAGUUAAUGGCGUCGCGCAUUGGAAGUAUAUGCGUGUGUGAGUUUCGAUGGGCGUUGCACACCUUGGAGGCCUCGUUGGUUAUCAUAUUGAUAAUAAAGAUUCGCCAGUUGAAGAAACGUGUGCACAGUGUUUGUGCUUGGCUUCCUCGAGAGGAAAUUGCAGAACAAAGCCAUACAGUAUGGUGUCCUUCAACAAUGUCCAACCAUGGAAUGAGUCACAUGUGACUGAGACAAACAAAUGAUGCUUUUGCAUUUUGAAUAAUUAAAUUUUUAUAAUUGUAUUUCAUACAAGCUUGCGGCCUGCGUCAGCCAAUAGGGUCCAGUAAUCACAUGGUCCGCUUUGACUGUGUAGUGUAACCUACAUCCUUCCUAACUGAAAAUGUUUGGCUAUGUUAUAGCUUCAACAGUAUGAACAAUUUUGUUAAUUUAUUUUCAUUUUUAUUGUUUUGGUUUUCUUUUCAGGUUUGGAACAAAUUGUUGUGUGGAGGUCAAGCUUCAAUUUGGGAUGUGAUUUGUCAACUGUUGGUUGAGAUGGCAAAAGAGAAUGGAUUGGAUCAAAAUUUUGUUCCGCACUCAUCUUUGGAAUCCUGUUGUGCUCAUAGUUGUAGCGGAACAUUCUCGUCUUUUCAGGUCAAAAAUAACGUAUGAGAAAUCUAUUAUCCACAUGAAAUGUGGGGCCUGUUCUGGGUCACCGUUUUUUUCCCUGUGCGUCCGAAAUUUUCACCCUUCCAGAGAUUAUUGUCCGCGUCCGAGAAAGUUGUACGACGAUGAUACCUGAAUCGCUUGCUUAACUGACAAAAAAUUACGAGCUAAUGAC